RNAcentral lists this ribosomal RNA (490 nucleotides) under uncultured bacterium. RNAcentral's name for it is "partial 16S ribosomal RNA". It matches the Rfam family "Bacterial small subunit ribosomal RNA", at positions 30 to 507 of the family's 1533-position model. The record is from RNAcentral.
AUUGAACGCUGGCGGCAGGCCUAACACAUGCAAGUCGAACGGUAACAGGAAGCAGCUUGCUGCUUCGCUGACGAGUGGCGGACGGGUGAGUCAUGUCUGGGAAACUGCCUGAUGGAGGGGGAUAACUACUGGAAACGGUAGCUAAUACCGCAUAACGUCGCAAGCCCAAAGAGGGGGACCUUAGGGCCUCUUGCCAUCGGAUGUGCCCAGAUGGGAUUAGCUAGUAGGUGGGGUAACGGCUCACCUAGGCGACGAUCCCUAGCUGGUCUGAGAGGAUGACCAGCCACACUGGAACUGAGACACGGUCCAGACUCCUACGGGAGGCAGCAGUGGGGAAUAUUGCACGAUGGGCGCAAGCCUGAUGCAGCCAUGCCGCGUGUAUGAAGAAGGCCUUCGGGUUGUAAAGUACUUUCAGCGGGGAGGAAGGGAGUAAAGUUAAUACCUUUGCUCAUUGACGUUACCCGCAGAAGAAGCACCGGCUAACUCCGUG